UACGUAGGGGGCAAGCGUUGUCCGGAUUUAUUGGGCGUAAAGAGCGUGUAGGCGGUCAGGUAGGUCGGUUGUGAAAACUCGAGGCUCAACCUCGAGCUGUCGGCGGAAACCAUCUGGCUAGAGUCCGGAAGAGGAGAGUGGAAUUCCUGGUGUAGCGGUGAAAUGCGCAGAUAUCAGGAAGAACACCUAUGGCGAAGGCAGCUCUCUGGGACGGUACUGACGCUGAGACGCGAAAGCGUGGGGAGCGAACAGG
This 253-nucleotide ribosomal RNA is filed under the name uncultured bacterium. Its description in RNAcentral is "partial 16S ribosomal RNA". It matches the Rfam family "Bacterial small subunit ribosomal RNA", at positions 524 to 776 of the family's 1533-position model. The record is from RNAcentral.